AUGCCACUAUUAUUAUUUACUAGGAAGCUCCUUACAAGAAAAGGAGCAGAUGCAGGGCAGGUUAUAAUCUCAACACAUUUUUGGACGUGCUCCACUGAACUAUUUUCUUCUCAAUCACAAUAUUUGGAGUGURUGCAAUGAAUUUCAGAGCAUUUCAGGAAGAUAUCAUCCCUGUUUAGCAAAAUGAAAAGUAUUUGGUCCAGGAUCACCUAAUGAGUCACUGGAGAGAUGAGAAUAUAACUACAAGUCCUGUGCUCUAGCUGUUAAAUCGCUCAUUCUUUCCUUUAUUGUGUACAUAGGAACAKAAGUAUUAUCAGGUGAGUAUGUACUAAAAUAUUGGCAAAUACAGUAUUUUAGUAGAAUUCUGAAUUUUUAGUAUAUGUUACAGUACUGGGAAGUUGAUUUAUCAUUACUGGCAACAAAAUAGACUAAGACCAGAAACAGUAAGUAGUUUAAGUGGCUGUGAUUGGCAAACCACUUUAUCAUGCUAAGUAGCUAAGUAAUGUUAUAACACGUGGCUUUGUUUUCUUUGUGCCCUUUAGUAUUCCCAUGUAAUAUUUAUCUAGGAGGUGACUAUGCUUUCCUUGGAUCAUUGGGAAGAUUCACAUUGACUGUACUAUCAGUGGGCCUGGACUUUAAACCUAGUCUAAAUUUAAAGGCACUCCCAUAAAAUGCACAAGCCCUGACCUUGCAAUUUGGUUCACAUAGGAAGAUCCUCAUGCUUACAGGGCUCCAAUUAAGUCAACAAGGCAAGGCAUCAGUACUGAUCUUGUGUGAUUGGAUUACAGGAUUGAAGCUGUGAUUUGCCCUCCUAAAACCACUUUAAUUUACUUAAACAGAUAAAUCCUAGUAUCAGAUUUCUUGUUGACUAUACUUUCUGAAAUGCAAAAAAGAUCAACUUGCCUGCUUUCUUCAAAUUUUGAAUGGACUACUUCACCUCCUAGUUCUGGAUUUUGAUAAGGUGUGUGUAGGAGGACUGAAGAGAUAACAGAAAUAACAACUGAGGAAAAAAUAGUAAAAGUAUAAUUUCCCUUUCCUGUAAAACUGAUGCAAAAUACUUCUUUCUUUUUAUUCCCUCUAAGCCCUUUUCUAAUACUUAUUUAACCCCACCUCAAAAAAAAAAAAAAGUGGGAGCCUGAGC
This 1141-nucleotide long non-coding RNA is filed under the name Dromaius novaehollandiae (emu). RNAcentral describes it as "lncRNA (ENSDNVG00000009128.1)". The record is from RNAcentral. Lineage: Eukaryota; Metazoa; Chordata; Aves; Casuariiformes; Dromaiidae.